Molecule: ribosomal RNA, 429 nt
Filed under: Chloroflexota bacterium
Lineage: Bacteria; Bacillati; Chloroflexota
Description: Chloroflexi bacterium partial 16S ribosomal RNA
Rfam family: Bacterial small subunit ribosomal RNA
Source: RNAcentral
UGGGGAAUAUUGCACAAUGGGCGCAAGCCUGAUGCAGCCAUGCCGCGUGUAUGAAGAAGGCCUUCGGGUUGUAAAGUACUUUCAGCGGGGAGGAAGGGAGUAAAGUUAAUACCUUUGCUCAUUGACGUUACCCGCAGAAGAAGCACCGGCUAACUCCGUGCCAGCAGCCGCGGUAAUACGGAGGGUGCAAGCGUUAAUCGGAAUUACUGGGCGUAAAGCGCACGCAGGCGGUUUGUUAAGUCAGAUGUGAAAUCCCCGGGCUCAACCUGGGAACUGCAUCUGAUACUGGCAAGCUUGAGUCUCGUAGAGGGGGGUAGAAUUCCAGGUGUAGCGAUGAAAUGCGUAGAGAUCUGGAGGAAUACCGGUGGCGAAGGCGGCCCCCUGGACGAAGACUGACGCUCAGGUGCGAAAGCGUGGGGAGCAAACAGG